This 317-nucleotide ribosomal RNA is filed under the name uncultured archaeon. RNAcentral's name for it is "bacterial SSU rRNA". It matches the Rfam family "Archaeal small subunit ribosomal RNA", at positions 518 to 834 of the family's 1478-position model. The record is from RNAcentral.
AAAACAAGCGGUUUAUUAAGUCUCUGGUGAAAUCCCGUAGCUUAACUAUGGGAAUUGCUGGAGAUACUAGUAGACUUGAGGUCGGGAGAGGUUAGAGGUACUCCCAGGGUAGGGGUGAAAUCCUGUAAUCCUGGGAGGACCACCUGUGGCGAAGGCGUCUAACUGGAACGAACCUGACGGUGAGGGACGAAAGCUAGGGGCGCGAACCGGAUUAGAUACCCGGGUAGUCCUAGCCGUAAACGAUGCGGACUUGGUGUUAGGAUGGCUUUGAGCCGCUCUAGUGCCGAAGGGAAGCUGUUAAGUCCGCCGCCUGGGAA